GGGGAUUUAGCUCAGUGGCAGAGCGCUUGCCUAGCAAGCGCAAGGUCCUGGGUUCAGUCCCCA
Molecule: transfer RNA, 63 nt
Filed under: Rattus norvegicus (Norway rat)
Lineage: Eukaryota; Metazoa; Chordata; Mammalia; Rodentia; Muridae
Rfam family: tRNA
About the family: Transfer RNA (tRNA) molecules are approximately 80 nucleotides in length. Their secondary structure includes four short double-helical elements and three loops (D, anti-codon, and T loops).
Source: Rfam by way of RNAcentral